RNAcentral lists this ribosomal RNA (424 nucleotides) under uncultured Desulfobulbus sp. RNAcentral describes it as "bacterial SSU rRNA". It matches the Rfam family "Bacterial small subunit ribosomal RNA", at positions 958 to 1382 of the family's 1533-position model. Lineage: Bacteria; Pseudomonadati; Thermodesulfobacteriota; Desulfobulbia; Desulfobulbales; Desulfobulbaceae. The record is from RNAcentral.
AACGCGAAGAACCUUACCAGGCCUUGACAUGCAGAGAACUUUCCAGAGAUGGAUUGGUGCCUUCGGGAACUCUGACACAGGUGCUGCAUGGCUGUCGUCAGCUCGUGUCGUGAGAUGUUGGGUUAAGUCCCGUAACGAGCGCAACCCUUGCCUUUAGUUGCCAGCAGUUCGGCUGGGCACUCUAAAGGGACUGCCGGUGUUAAACCGGAGGAAGGUGGGGAUGACGUCAAGUCCUCAUGGCCUUUAUGACCAGGGCUACACACGUACUACAAUGGCCGAUACAAAGGGCAGCGACACUGCGAGGUGAAGCCAAUCCCGUAAAAUCGGUCUCAGUCCGGAUUGGAGUCUGCAACUCGACUCCAUGAAGUUGGAAUCGCUAGUAAUCGUGGAUCAGCAUGCCACGGUGAAUACGUUCCCGGGCCUU